Molecule: ribosomal RNA, 765 nt
Filed under: uncultured Streptococcus sp.
Lineage: Bacteria; Bacillati; Bacillota; Bacilli; Lactobacillales; Streptococcaceae
Description: bacterial SSU rRNA
Rfam family: Bacterial small subunit ribosomal RNA
Source: RNAcentral
GAUGAACGCUGGCGGCGUGCCUAAUACAUGCAAGUAGAACGCUGAAGCUUGGUGCUUGCACCGAGCGGAUGAGUUGCGAACGGGUGAGUAACGCGUAGGUAACCUGCCUCUUAGCGGGGGAUAACUAUUGGAAACGAUAGCUAAUACCGCAUAAAAGACGAUAUCGCAUGAUGUUGAUUUGAAAGGUGCAAUUGCAUCACUAAGAGAUGGACCUGCGUUGUAUUAGCUAGUUGGUGAGGUAACGGCUCACCAAGGCGACGAUACAUAGCCGACCUGAGAGGGUGAUCGGCCACACUGGGACUGAGACACGGCCCAGACUCCUACGGGAGGCAGCAGUAGGGAAUCUUCGGCAAUGGGGGCAACCCUGACCGAGCAACGCCGCGUGAGUGAAGAAGGUUUUCGGAUCGUAAAGCUCUGUUGUAAGAGAAGAACGAGUGUGAGAGUGGAAAGUUCACACUGUGACGGUAACUUACCAGAAAGGGACGGCUAACUACGUGCCAGCAGCCGCGGUAAUACGUAGGUCCCGAGCGUUAUCCGGAUUUAUUGGGCGUAAAGCGAGCGCAGGCGGUUAGAUAAGUCUGAAGUUAAAGGCUGUGGCUUAACCAUAGUACGCUUUGGAAACUGUUUAACUUGAGUGCAGAAGGGGAGAGUGGAAUUCCAUGUGUAGCGGUGAAAUGCGUAGAUAUAUGGAGGAACGCCGGUGGCGAAAGCGGCUCUCUGGUCUGUAACUGACGCUGAGGCUCGAAAGCGUGGGGAGCAAACAGG